Molecule: long non-coding RNA, 887 nt
Organism: Schistocerca piceifrons (Central American locust)
Lineage: Eukaryota; Metazoa; Arthropoda; Insecta; Orthoptera; Acrididae
Exons: 4
Source: RefSeq, a predicted model, not a curated record
UUUGGUACUGCGCCAUAGAUUGCAUUGAAGCAUUUUAACUGCCGUGUAUGAUCGAAGUAAUAAGAUAUUAUUUUGUACUACAAUCAUAAAUCUCUCUCUCUCUCGAUGGGAGGCUCUUGGCGUUCAAACAAAAUAACAACAGUUCGAAACUGUGAAUGGAUAAGUUCUGCAAUCUGCAAAGGCUAAGAAGAAACAAUGACAGGGGAAAGACUUGUCGUUGUAAAGAGCUGUAGCCAGGUGUAUGUUUGAUUACGUAAGUGAUGUACCGCACUUAGGAAAUUAAGCGUCCGACAACACUUCAGAUUGACAAAACGUGCUGUUCUAUAGUCUCAGGAACAAGGAACCGAUGACCUCGUGGUUUGGUCCCUUUUCCCGCCUUUAAACCAACCAACCAACCAAGUGCAACUCACACAUAUAUGACCAAUGACCACAGUCUGUGGCAGCUGAAGCCACACUACGUUGUUGGCUAAAAGCUUAUUUUGUGACAGUCUUUUUGUUGUGCCUAUCUGUGACUGAGCAUCUCUGCUAUAUGGCUCGUGCUGUGCAGCAGUCUGCUAAUCUGUACAAAUAAAAUGGCUCGUAUUUUGGGAGCAUUGUACAAUCAGUCGGGAAACCUCAGAUCCAGUGGAUAUUUGGCUUUGAUGAAGUUUAACCUUCCGAAGAUGUAAUGGAGGUCUUGGAUUAUUAAAUCCAGGUGCAGUAUUCACACAGACAUAUAGGUGAUGGAAAGCGAUGGAGCAAACAUUAACAGAUGGAGAAUAUUACUUCCUGGUACUGCUGAUUACACUUCCUGUCAAUUUGUUUUUCUGUCUGUGGGCUUGGCUUGGAUGGGAGCUUUUUAAAAAUAAUUAGGGCUACAUUGAAAUAAAACUAUCAUGCCAUUCAAA